Molecule: ribosomal RNA, 354 nt
Filed under: bacterium LimA-100-J-168
Lineage: Bacteria
Also listed under: 8 other names
Description: bacterial SSU rRNA
Rfam family: Bacterial small subunit ribosomal RNA
Source: RNAcentral
GAGAGGAUGAUCCGCCACACUGGGACUGAGACACGGCCCAGACUCCUACGGGAGGCAGCAGUGGGGAAUUUUGGACAAUGGGCGUAAGCCUGAUCCAGCCAUGCCGCGUGUCUGAAGAAGGCCUUCGGGUUGUAAAGGACUUUUGUCCGGGAGCAAAUCCCAGUGGUUAAUACCUACUGGGGCUGAGAGUACCGGAAGAAUAAGCACCGGCUAACUACGUGCCAGCAGCCGCGGUAAUACGUAGGGUGCAAGCGUUAAUCGGAAUUACUGGGCGUAAAGCGUGCGCAGGCGGUUGUGCAAGUCUGAUGUGAAAGCCCCGGGCUUAACCUGGGAACGGCAUUGGAGACUGCACGA